Long non-coding RNA from Branchiostoma floridae (Florida lancelet), 274 nucleotides. RefSeq lists it as uncharacterized. The record is from RefSeq and is a predicted model, not a curated record. The transcript has 3 exons. NCBI's taxonomy places the organism in Eukaryota, Metazoa, Chordata, Leptocardii, Amphioxiformes, Branchiostomatidae.
CUCCAUCACUCGCCUUGGUGGACGCUAUGGUGACUGUACAAACGGAGGGGGAUACGAGCUCCUGUACGGGGGGACUUACACCCAGGCAAACUGCCUUGUCACCUGUCACCAGCAGCACAUGGUCAGUGUGUGCGGAUGUGCUGACCCUAGUUUCAAGGCACCGGUCAACACAGCCUUUUGCGACAGUGUUACCACCACUGUGGAAUGUACGAACAGAGUAAAGAGGGAAAUCGCAACAGGUGUGCUGCCUUGUACCUGUCCAGCGAGCUGCUCG